AUUGAACGCUGGCGGCAUGCUUUACACAUGCAAGUCGAACGGCAGCGCGGGCUUCGGCCUGGCGGCGAGUGGCGAACGGGUGAGUAAUGCAUCGGAACGUGCCCAGUAGUGGGGGAUAGCCCGGCGAAAGCCGGAUUAAUACCGCAUACGACCUGAUGGUGAAAGCGGGGGACCGAAAGGCCUCGCGCUAUUGGAUCUGCCGAUGUCGGAUUAGCUAGUUGGUGGGGUAAAGGCUUACCAAGGCGACGAUCCGUAGCUGGUCUGAGAGGACGACCAGCCACACUGGGACUGAGACACGGCCCAGACUCCUACGGGAGGCAGCAGUGGGGAAUUUUGGACAAUGGGGGAAAGCCUGAUCCAGCCAUGCCGCGUGAGGGAAGAAGGCCUUCGGGUUGUAAACCGCUUUUGUUCGGGAAGAAAACCUCUGGGCUAAUACCUCGGGGGGAUGACGGUACCGGAAGAAUAAGCACCGGCUAACUACGUG
Molecule: ribosomal RNA, 484 nt
Filed under: uncultured bacterium
Lineage: Bacteria
Description: partial 16S ribosomal RNA
Rfam family: Bacterial small subunit ribosomal RNA
Source: RNAcentral